GUCUAUAACCAUGCCACCGUGAAUGGGCCCAAUCUCAUCUGAUCUCGGAAGCUAAGCAGUGUCAGGCCUGGUUAGUACUUGGAUGGGAGACCACCUGGGAAUAACAGGUGCUGUAGGCA
This 119-nucleotide ribosomal RNA is filed under the name Pteropus alecto (black flying fox). The record is from RNAcentral. Lineage: Eukaryota; Metazoa; Chordata; Mammalia; Chiroptera; Pteropodidae.